This is a long non-coding RNA of Drosophila sulfurigaster albostrigata, 328 nucleotides long. RefSeq lists it as uncharacterized. The record is from RefSeq and is a predicted model, not a curated record. The transcript is spliced from 4 exons. NCBI's taxonomy places the organism in Eukaryota, Metazoa, Arthropoda, Insecta, Diptera, Drosophilidae.
AACUUGUACAUGGUCACACUUAAGCGAGCAAAGAACACGCAUCCACGACAGUUUAUGAUUGUCUUCAGGUAAGUAUUGCAGGUGUCCUUAUAAUCAUCCAGUGUGGAAGUCGUCAGUGUUGUUGUCACCGUUGAUUGGCAGGAGUUGUUACGAGUUGGAAUCGUGUUAAACUGUAGUUGUGAGGUGAGUACAUCAUACAGACACACACACAAACAUUUAUACUUAUGUAUUUACACAGAAGUGAGUGUCUGGAUCACUUUUUUAAUCGUUCAUCUAAAUGGAUUGCUGCAAUGUGUUUCUCGACGACAGCGAUUCAGUGUGACCCUCC